AUUGAACGCUGGCGGCAGGCCUAACACAUGCAAGUCGAGCGGAUGAAGGGAGCUUGCUCCUGGAUUCAGCGGCGGACGGGUGAGUAAUGCCUAGGAAUCUGCCUGGUAGUGGGGGAUAACGUCCGGAAACGGGCGCUAAUACCGCAUACGUCCUGAGGGAGAAAGUGGGGGAUCUUCGGACCUCACGCUAUCAGAUGAGCCUAGGUCGGAUUAGCUAGUUGGUGGGGUAAAGGCCUACCAAGGCGACGAUCCGUAACUGGUCUGAGAGGAUGAUCAGUCACACGGAAACGGGAAAACGGUCCAGACUCCAACGGAAGGCAGCAGGGGGAAAAAUGGAAAAAGGGGGGAAAGCCGGAUCAAGCCAGGCCGGGUGUGGGAAGAAGGUCUUCGAAUUGAAAGGAAUUUAAAGUGGGGGGAAAGGCAAGAAGGUAAAAACCUGCUGGUUUUAAGGUAACAAACGAAUAAACACCGGCCAAAUUCGUU
This 483-nucleotide ribosomal RNA is filed under the name uncultured bacterium. Its description in RNAcentral is "partial 16S ribosomal RNA". It matches the Rfam family "Bacterial small subunit ribosomal RNA", at positions 29 to 507 of the family's 1533-position model. The record is from RNAcentral.